RNAcentral lists this ribosomal RNA (763 nucleotides) under Exosternini gen. n. 1 sp. 1a MSC-2014. RNAcentral's name for it is "SSU rRNA". It matches the Rfam family "Eukaryotic small subunit ribosomal RNA", at positions 417 to 1122 of the family's 1831-position model. The record is from RNAcentral. Lineage: Eukaryota; Metazoa; Arthropoda; Insecta; Coleoptera; Histeridae.
CAAGGAAGGCAGCAGGCGCGCAAAUUACCCACUCCCGGCACGGGGAGGUAGUGACGAAAAAUAACGAUACGGGACUCAUCCGAGGCCCCGUAAUCGGAAUGAGUACACUUUAAAUCCUUUAACGAGGAUCAAUUGGAGGGCAAGUCUGGUGCCAGCAGCCGCGGUAAUUCCAGCUCCAAUAGCGUAUAUUAAAGUUGUUGCGGUUAAAAAGCUCGUAGUCGAAUCUGUGUCGUGCGCCGCCGGUUCAUCGCUCGCGGUGUCAACUGGCGUGUCGCAGGACGUCCUGCCGGUGGACUUAGCCGCUCGGUCCUUGCGGCCUUGCGGCGGUCCAACUUCAACAAUCCCACCGCGGUGCUCUUCGCUGAGUGUCGAGGUGGGCCGGCACGUUUACUUUGAACAAAUUAGAGUGCUUAAAGCAGGCUAAAAUUUCGCCUGAAUACUGUGUGCAUGGAAUAAUGGAAUAGGACCUCGGUUCUAUUUUGUUAGUUUUCGGAACCCCGAGGUAAUGAUUAAUAGGAACGGAUGGGGGCAUUCGUAUUGCGACGUUAGAGGUGAAAUUCUUGGAUCGUCGCAAGACGGACUUAAGCGAAAGCAUUUGCCAAAAACGCUUUCAUUGAUCAAGAACGAAAGUUAGAGGUUCGAAGGCGAUCAGAUACCGCCCUAGUUCUAACCAUAAACGAUGCCAGCUAGCGAUCCGCCGACGUUCCUCCGAUGACUCGGCGGGCAGCUUCCGGGAAACCAAAGCUUUUGGGUUCCGGGGGAA